ACUACGAAUCAUAUGUGUUUUGUUUAUAAGUUUAUUUCCUGCGACGCGAUUUUAUUGGACUUUAGUCAUCCAAAAUGUUGAAUUUAAAGCACUUGGCCAGCCACGCCUACCGCCAGUACGAGCUGGUGACCUGCAUCAAUAUGCUGGAGCCCUGGGAAAAGAAGCUGAUCAAUGGAUUCUUCCUGAUCAUGCUGUCCCUGGUGAUCUUCUCCAGCUUCAUGUAUCUACCGGACUAUCUGCAAACCCUGCUGCAGUUCAUAACGCCACCCACUUGGCACAGUUCUCCGGAAAAUUCAGCCUAUGUGGCACAAAAAAUGGGACGGAGCUAAGUUCCCACAUAUCUUAUAUGUACAUCCGGUAGAAACCCUUGCCCACACAUACUCCCUAUAGAAAGACAACUAUGAUUUAACGUUUAUGAUAUAAUUGUGAUUCACCUCGACUGGUCCAAGAUCUGCAGAUUACAAUGGCCUCCACGAUUCGCAAAGCGGAUGUGUUGAAGAACAGGCCAACCAGACCUCCAAGGGAAACUAAUGGAUAAUAUUGUUUAAAAAAUAUAGUAGUUCCCUAAAGUUUUGGAGCUUACUCAAGAAAUCCAGGAUAGUUUUGGUCACACGACGAACAUAGCGUUGAGUGGGCAGCUCUACGAGUGCCACUCGAAUUUUAGAGACAUCAUCUGAGGCUUCGUCAUCCCUAGAAAUUAAAAGGAGAACCUAUUAUAUAUGCUUAUUUACUCAAAACCUAUAUCAUACUACUUCCAUUCGAUUCCUUAAAAGGAUGAUUAUGUUAUAAAUGUACUUACUCAUC
This is an RNA transcript of Drosophila subpulchrella, 804 nucleotides long. It is a transcript of the gene named serine palmitoyltransferase small subunit B, with no coding region annotated. Lineage: Eukaryota; Metazoa; Arthropoda; Insecta; Diptera; Drosophilidae. The transcript is spliced from 3 exons. The record is from RefSeq and is a predicted model, not a curated record.